AGCCUGAAUAUCACAAAUAAGAAG
This 24-nucleotide non-coding RNA is filed under the name Gossypium hirsutum (cotton). The record is from RNAcentral. Lineage: Eukaryota; Viridiplantae; Streptophyta; Magnoliopsida; Malvales; Malvaceae.